RNAcentral lists this ribosomal RNA (253 nucleotides) under uncultured bacterium. RNAcentral describes it as "partial 16S ribosomal RNA". It matches the Rfam family "Bacterial small subunit ribosomal RNA", at positions 524 to 776 of the family's 1533-position model. The record is from RNAcentral.
UACAUGGGGUGCAAACGUUGCUCGGAAUUAUUGGGCGUAAAGCGCGCGCAGGCGGUCCUUUAAGUCUGAUGUGAAAGCCCACGGCUCAACCGUGGAGGGUCAUUGGAAACUGGGGGACUUGAGUGCAGAAGAGGAAAGCGGAAUUCCACGUGUAGCGGUGAAAUGCGUAGAGAUGUGGAGGAACACCAGUGGCGAAGGCGGCUUUCUGGUCUGUAACUGACGCUGAGGCGCGAAAGCGUGGGGAGCAAACAGG